AUACGUAGGGGGCAAGCGUUGUCCGGAAUGACUGGGCGUAAAGGGCGUGUAGGCGGCCGAUUAAGUCUGGAGUGAAAGUCCCGCUUUCAAGGUGGGAAUUGCUUUGGAAACUGGUUGGCUUGAGUGCGGAAGAGGUAAGUGGAAUUCCCAGUGUAGCGGUGAAAUGCGUAGAGAUUGGGAGGAACACCAGUGGCGAAGGCGACUUACUGGGCCGUAACUGACGCUGAGGCGCGAAAGCGUGGGGAGCGAAAAGGAUUAGAUACCCUGGUAUUCCACGCCGUAAACGAUGAAUACUAGGUGUAGGAGGUAUCGACCCCUUCUGUGCCGCAGUAAACACAGUAAGCAUUCCGCCUGGGGAGUACGGUCGCAAGAUUAAAACUCAAAGGAAUUGACGGGG
RNAcentral lists this ribosomal RNA (397 nucleotides) under uncultured bacterium. RNAcentral describes it as "partial 16S ribosomal RNA". It matches the Rfam family "Bacterial small subunit ribosomal RNA", at positions 523 to 918 of the family's 1533-position model. The record is from RNAcentral.